UCUACUAAAGGAUAGUAGUUUUCCCCUGGUCUUAGGCACCAUAAUCCUUGGUGCAAAUCCAAGUAGUAGAA
This 71-nucleotide transfer RNA is filed under the name Elaphe taeniura (beauty snake). RNAcentral's name for it is "tRNA-Leu". It matches the Rfam family "tRNA". Rfam says of the family: Transfer RNA (tRNA) molecules are approximately 80 nucleotides in length. Their secondary structure includes four short double-helical elements and three loops (D, anti-codon, and T loops). The record is from RNAcentral. Lineage: Eukaryota; Metazoa; Chordata; Lepidosauria; Squamata; Colubridae.